RNAcentral lists this ribosomal RNA (253 nucleotides) under uncultured bacterium. Its description in RNAcentral is "partial 16S ribosomal RNA". It matches the Rfam family "Bacterial small subunit ribosomal RNA", at positions 524 to 776 of the family's 1533-position model. The record is from RNAcentral.
UACGGAGGGUGCAAGCGUUAUCCGGAUUCACUGGGUUUAAAGGGUGCGUAGGAGGGCAGGUAAGUCAGUGGUGAAAUCUCCAAGCUUAACUUGGAAACUGCCGUUGAUACUAUCUGUCUUGAAUACCGUGGAGGUGAGCGGAAUAUGUCAUGUAGCGGUGAAAUGCUUAGAUAUGACAUAGAACACCAAUGGCGAAGGCAGCUCGCUACACGAAUAUUGACGCUGAGGCACGAAAGCGUGGGGAGCAAACAGG